CGUAGGGCGCGAGCGUUAAUCGGAAUUACUGGGCGUAAAGCGUGCGCAGGCGGUUAUGUAAGACAGAUGUGAAAUCCCCGGGCUCAACCUGGGAACUGCAUUUGUGACUGCAUGGCUAGAGUACGGUAGAGGGGGAUGGAAUUCCGCGUGUAGCAGUGAAAUGCGUAGAUAUGCGGAGGAACACCGAUGGCGAAGGCAAUCCCCUGGACCUGUACUGACGCUCAUGCACGAAAGCGUGGGGAGCAAACAGGAUUAGAUACCCUGGUAGUCCACGCCCUAAACGAUGUCAACUGGUUGUUGGGAAUUAGUUUUCUCAGUAACGAAGCUAACGCGUGAAGUUGACCGCCUGGGGAGUACGGCCGCAAGGUUG
Molecule: ribosomal RNA, 370 nt
Filed under: uncultured organism
Description: bacterial SSU rRNA
Rfam family: Bacterial small subunit ribosomal RNA
Source: RNAcentral